ACUCCUACGGGAGGCAGCAGUGAGGAAUAUUGGGCAAUGGGCGAAAGCCUGACCCAGCCACGCCGCGUGGAGGACGAAGGCCUUCGGGUCGUAAACUCCUGUCAGUUGGGACGAAAAGCUGUCGGUCAAUAGCCGGCAGUCAUGACGGUACCACCAGAGGAAGCUCCGGCUAACUCCGUGCCAGCAGCCGCGGUAAU
RNAcentral lists this ribosomal RNA (197 nucleotides) under uncultured Acidobacterium sp. RNAcentral's name for it is "partial 16S ribosomal RNA". It matches the Rfam family "Bacterial small subunit ribosomal RNA", at positions 335 to 524 of the family's 1533-position model. The record is from RNAcentral. Lineage: Bacteria; Pseudomonadati; Acidobacteriota; Terriglobia; Terriglobales; Acidobacteriaceae.